RNAcentral lists this ribosomal RNA (1047 nucleotides) under Natrinema hispanicum. RNAcentral's name for it is "bacterial SSU rRNA". It matches the Rfam family "Archaeal small subunit ribosomal RNA", at positions 361 to 1411 of the family's 1478-position model. Lineage: Archaea; Methanobacteriati; Methanobacteriota; Halobacteria; Halobacteriales; Natrialbaceae. The record is from RNAcentral.
GAAAGUGCGAUAAGGGGACUCCAAGUGCGAGGGCAUAUAGUCCUCGCUUUUCACUACCGUAAGGUGGUAGUAGAAUAAGUGCUGGGCAAGACCGGUGCCAGCCGCCGCGGUAAUACCGGCAGCACGAGUGAUGACCGCUCUUAUUGGGCUAAAGCGUCCGUAGCUGGCCACGCAAGUCUAUCGGGAAAUCCGCGCGCUCAACGCGCGGGCGUCCGGUGGAAACUGUGUGGCUUGGGACCGGAAGAUCCAGAGGGUACGUCCGGGGUAGGAGUGAAAUCCCGUAAUCCUGGACGGACCACCGGUGGCGAAAGCGCUCUGGAAAGACGGAUCCGACGGUGAGGGACGAAAGCUCGGGUCACGAACCGGAUUAGAUACCCGGGUAGUCCGAGCUGUAAACGAUGUCUGCUAGGUGUGCCACAGGCUACGAGCCUGUGGUGUGCCGUAGGGAAGCCGUGAAGCAGACCGCCUGGGAAGUACGUCCGCAAGGAUGAAACUUAAAGGAAUUGGCGGGGGAGCACUACAACCGGAGGAGCCUGCGGUUUAAUUGGACUCAACGCCGGACAUCUCACCAGCAUCGACAAUGUGCAGUGAAAGUCAGGUUGAUGACCUUACUGGAGCCAUUGAGAGGAGGUGCAUGGCCGCCGUCAGCUCGUACCGUGAGGCGUCCUGUUAAGUCAGGCAACGAGCGAGACCCGCACUCCUAAUUGCCAGCAACACCCUUGUGGUGGUUGGGUACAUUAGGAGGACUGCCAGUGCCAAACUGGAGGAAGGAACGGGCAACGGUAGGUCAGUAUGCCCCGAAUGUGCUGGGCGACACGCGGGCUACAAUGGCCGAGACAGUGGGAUGCAACCCCGAAAGGGGACGCUAAUCUCCGAAACUCGGUCGUAGUUCGGAUUGAGGACUGAAACUCGUCCUCAUGAAGCUGGAUUCGGUAGUAAUCGCGCCUCAGAAGGGCGCGGUGAAUACGUCCCUGCUCCUUGCACACACCGCCCGUCAAAGCACCCGAGUGGGGUCCGGAUGAGGCCUCGAUUCCGAGGUCGAAUCUG